UGAGUUGAGUAGAUGGUCGCGUUCCAUUAGGAAUGAGGAAAGUCCGGACUCCGCAGGGCAGGAUGCUGGGUAAUCCCCAGGAGCGGUAACGCUAUGGAAAGUGCAACAGAAAGUAGACUACAACGGUAAUCCGUUGUACAGGUGAAACGGUGCGGUAAAAGCGCACCAGACCAUAAGGUGACUUGUGGUGCUGGUAAACCCCAUCUGGAGCAAGGUAAAACGGAGAUAUUUAAAGGUGUGCCCGUUUCGUCUCCGGGUAACCGCUUGAGGUUAAUGGUAACAUUGAUCCCAGAUGAAUGAUCAUCAUAUACAGAAUCCGGCUUAUUCUCAACUCAAGCU
RNAcentral lists this RNase P RNA (339 nucleotides) under Candidatus Poribacteria bacterium. RNAcentral describes it as "RNase P RNA component class A". It matches the Rfam family "Bacterial RNase P class A". From Rfam's summary of the family: Ribonuclease P (RNase P) is a ubiquitous endoribonuclease, found in archaea, bacteria and eukarya as well as chloroplasts and mitochondria. Its best characterised activity is the generation of mature 5'-ends of tRNAs by cleaving the 5'-leader elements of precursor-tRNAs. The record is from RNAcentral. Lineage: Bacteria; Candidatus Poribacteria.